GGUUUACCUGUGUGACUGCGUACCUUUUGUAUAAUGGGUCAGCGACUUAUAUUCUGUAGCAAGGUUAACCGAAUAGGGGAGCCGGAGGGAAACCGAGUCUUAAUUGGGCGUUAAGUUGCAGGGUAUAGACCCGAAACCCGGUGAUCUAGCCAUGGGCAGGUUGAAGGUUGGGUAACACUAACUGGAGGACCGAACCGACUAAUGUUGAAAAAUUAGCGGAUGACCUGUGGCUGGGGGUGAAAGGCCAAUCAAACCGGGAGAUAGCUGGUUCUCCCCGAAAGCUAUUUAGGUAGCGCCUCGUGAAUUCAUCUCCGGGGGUAGAGCACUGUUUCGGCUAGGGGGCCAUCCCGGCUUACCAACCCGAUGCAAACUGCGAAUACCGGAGAAUGUUAUCACGGGAGACACACGGCGGGUGCUAACGUCCGUCGUGAAGAGGGAAACAACCCAGACCGCCAGCUAAGGUCCCAAAGUCAUGGUUAAGUGGGAAACGAUGUGGGAAGGCCCAGACAGCCAGGAUGUUGGCUUAGAAGCAGCCAUCAUUUAAAGAAAGCGUAAUAGCUCACUGGUCGAGUCGGCCUGCGCGGAAGAUGUAACGGGGCUAAACCAUGCACCGAAGCUGCGGCAGCGACACUGUGUGUUGUUGGGUAGGGGAGCGUUCUGUAAGCCUGUGAAGGUGUGUCGUGAGGCAUGCUGGAGGUAUCAGAAGUGCGAAUGCUGACAUAAGUAACGAUAAAGCGGGUGAAAAGCCCGCUCGCCGGAAGACCAAGGGUUCCUGUCCAACGUUAAUCGGGGCAGGGUGAGUCGACCCCUAAGGCGAGGCCGAAAGGCGUAGUCGAUGGGAAACGGGUUAAUAUUCCCGUACUUGGUGUUACUGCGAAGGGGGGACGGAGAAGGCUAUGUUGGCCGGGCGACGGUUGUCCCGGUUUAAGCGUGUAGGUGUGUGUUCCAGGUAAAUCCGGUUCACUUUAACACUGAGGCGUGACGACGAGGCACUACGGUGCUGAAGCAACAAAUGCCCUGCUUCCAGGAAAAGCCUCUAAGCAUCAGGUAACAUCAAAUCGUACCCCAAACCGACACAGGUGGUCAGGUAGAGAAUACCAAGGCGCUUGAGAGAACUCGGGUGAAGGAACUAGGCAAAAUGGUGCCGUAACUUCGGGAGAAGGCACGCUGACACGUAGGUGAAGUGAUUUACUCAUGGAGCUGAAGUCAGUCGAAGAUACCAGCUGGCUGCAACUGUUUAUUAAAAACACAGCACUGUGCAAACACGAAAGUGGACGUAUACGGUGUGACGCCUGCCCGGUGCCGGAAGGUUAAUUGAUGGGGUCAGCGCAAGCGAAGCUCCUGAUCGAAGCCCCGGUAAACGGCGGCCGUAACUAUAACGGUCCUAAGGUAGCGAAAUUCCUUGUCGGGUAAGUUCCGACCUGCACGAAUGGCGUAAUGAUGGCCAGGCUGUCUCCACCCGAGACUCAGUGAAAUUGAACUCGCUGUGAAGAUGCAGUGUACCCGCGGCAAGACGGAAAGACCCCGUGAACCUUUACUAUAGCUUGACACUGAACAUUGAGCCUUGAUGUGUAGGAUAGGUGGGAGGCUUUGAAGUGUGGACGCCAGUCUGCAUGGAGCCGACCUUGAAAUACCACCCUUUAAUGUUUGAUGUUCUAACGUGGACCCGUUACCCGGGUUGCGGACAGUGUCUGGUGGGUAGUUUGACUGGGGCGGUCUCCUCCUAAAGAGUAACGGAGGAGCACGAAGGUUGGCUAAUCCUGGUCGGACAUCAGGAGGUUAGUGCAAUGGCAUAAGCCAGCUUGACUGCGAGCGUGACGGCGCGAGCAGGUGCGAAAGCAGGUCAUAGUGAUCCGGUGGUUCUGAAUGGAAGGGCCAUCGCUCAACGGAUAAAAGGUACUCCGGGGAUAACAGGCUGAUACCGCCCAAGAGUUCAUAUCGACGGCGGUGUUUGGCACCUCGAUGUCGGCUCAUCACAUCCUGGGGCUGAAGUAGGUCCCAAGGGUAUGGCUGUUCGCCAUUUAAAGUGGUACGCGAGCUGGGUUUAGAACGUCGUGAGACAGUUCGGUCCCUAUCUGCCGUGGGCGCUGGAGAACUGAGGGGGGCUGCUCCUAGUACGAGAGGACCGGAGUGGACGCAUCACUGGUGUUCGGGUUGUCAUGCCAAUGGCACUGCCCGGUAGCUAAAUGCGGAAGAGAUAAGUGCUGAAAGCAUCUAAGCACGAAACUUGCCCCGAG
This 2237-nucleotide ribosomal RNA is filed under the name Salmonella enterica. RNAcentral's name for it is "partial 23S ribosomal RNA". It matches the Rfam family "Bacterial large subunit ribosomal RNA", at positions 582 to 2803 of the family's 2925-position model. The record is from RNAcentral. Lineage: Bacteria; Pseudomonadati; Pseudomonadota; Gammaproteobacteria; Enterobacterales; Enterobacteriaceae. RNAcentral also lists the same sequence under 2 other names.